AACGAGCGCUGGCGGCAUGCCUAACACAUGCAAGUCGAACGAUGCCUUCGGGCAUAGUGGCGCACGGGUGCGUAACGCGUGGGAAUCUGCCUUUCGGUUCGGAAUAACUCAGGGAAACUUGAGCUAAUACCGGAUAACGUCGCAAGACCAAAGAUUUAUCACCGAAAGAUGAGCCCGCGUAGGAUUAGCUAGUUGGUGAGGUAAAGGCUCACCAAGGCGACGAUCCUUAGCUGGUCUGAGAGGAUGAUCAGCCACACUGGGACUGAGACACGGCCCAGGCUCCUACGGGAGGCAGCAGUGGGGAAUAUUGGACAAUGGGCGAAAGCCUGAUCCAGCAAUGCCGCGUGAGUGAUGAAGGCCUUAGGGUUGUAAAGCUCUUUUACCCGGGAAGAUAAUGACGGUACCGGGAGAAUAAGCCCCGGCUAACUCCGUG
Molecule: ribosomal RNA, 433 nt
Filed under: uncultured bacterium
Lineage: Bacteria
Description: partial 16S ribosomal RNA
Rfam family: Bacterial small subunit ribosomal RNA
Source: RNAcentral